Molecule: long non-coding RNA, 94 nt
Organism: Sphaeramia orbicularis (orbiculate cardinalfish)
Lineage: Eukaryota; Metazoa; Chordata; Actinopteri; Kurtiformes; Apogonidae
Exons: 3
Source: RefSeq, a predicted model, not a curated record
UAUGAACUGGGACUGUUCUGUAUGAGCGGAGGUGUUGGAGGAAAUUGAAUGAGGUAUGUGUGGAUCAGGGCCAGAGCCGGAACCACAGCCAGAC